AUGGGCUCAGAUCCGAUUUACUACAGGUGGAGGCUGCGAUUCCGGCUAGCUCUGGUGGCGCUCGCGAUGGCUGGACGAAUCGAGGCGGAGCUCGCGGCGUGGAUGCAUAGCAGAGAUCUGCGAUGGACGCGCCGACUUCUACGGAUUCGGUGGCGGGUCGCGGAGUUCUUCACGGGCCUGAACAUGACGAAGGUGAUUGUGCGUGCUUCUUGUUGCUGUGAGAAGGGUUGGCCGCCUGAUGAUGUGGAAUCACCGGCGUUUGCAUAG
Molecule: non-coding RNA, 267 nt
Organism: Vicia faba (fava bean)
Lineage: Eukaryota; Viridiplantae; Streptophyta; Magnoliopsida; Fabales; Fabaceae
Source: the annotation of a GenBank genome assembly